GCCGCGAUGGCACAACCCGGUACUGCGCCAGCCUUGAGAGCUGGUUUCCUUCGGGAUAUCCCGGUUCAAAUCCGGGUCGCGGCG
Molecule: transfer RNA, 84 nt
Filed under: Candidatus Woesearchaeota archaeon CG10_big_fil_rev_8_21_14_0_10_44_13
Lineage: Archaea; Nanobdellati; Candidatus Woesearchaeota
Description: tRNA-Ser
Rfam family: tRNA
About the family: Transfer RNA (tRNA) molecules are approximately 80 nucleotides in length. Their secondary structure includes four short double-helical elements and three loops (D, anti-codon, and T loops). Further hydrogen bonds mediate the characteristic L-shaped molecular structure. tRNAs have two regions of fundamental functional importance: the anti-codon, which is responsible for specific mRNA codon recognition, and the 3' end, to which the tRNAs corresponding amino acid is attached (by aminoacyl-tRNA synthetases). tRNAs cope with the degeneracy of the genetic code in two manners: having more than one tRNA (with a specific anti-codon) for a particular amino acid; and 'wobble' base-pairing, i.e. permitting non-standard base-pairing at the 3rd anti-codon position.
Source: RNAcentral